CUAGCUAUCAUCUUUCUAUUUUUCCUCAUAAUUUUAUUGAAACAUUUGAUUCAUCCAAAAAAACAUUUACCACCUAGUCCUUUGUCUCUCCCAAUAAUAGGCCAUCUUUACCUUAUCAAAAAUUCACUUCACCAAACAUUAACCUCUUUAUCAACUAAAUAUGGUCCGGUUUUAUACCUCCGUUUCGGGUGUCGAAAUAUGUUGAUUGUGUCCUCUUCAUCCUCUGUAAAAGAAUGUUUCACGAAAAACGAUGUUGUAUUUGCAAACCGGCCACAGAGCAUGCUAGGUGACCGGGUUUCUUUUAAUUAUACUGCUAUUUUUUGGGCACCGUACGGUCAACUCUGGAGAGUUCUCCGCCGUCAAACGGCGAUUGAACUCUUCUCUUCAAACAGUCUUCAAAAGUCUUCUUUAAUUCGAAAUGAAGAAACUGGGAUUUUGAUUCGCUCUUUGUUUAAAGCCAGUGAAAAGAAUACACGUGGCGGUACUAGGGUUGACUUGAGUUAUUGGGCUUUUACAUUUGUGUUUAAUGUUAUGAUGAGAAUUGGUACUGGAAAAAGUUGUGUGAGUGAGGAAGUUAUAGGAAUGGAAAAGGGGAAAAAGAUUAUUGAAGAGAUGAGGAGUGUUUUCUUUGCAAAUUUGUUGGUUUUAAACGUGUGUGAUUUUUUGCCAAUUUUGAAAUGGUUUGGUUAUAAAGGGAUUGGGAAAAAAAUGGACUUAACGAGUAUGAAGAGAAAUGAAUUUUUAAACAAAUUACUUGACGAAUUUCGACAGAAAAAAAGUAGUAGUAGUAGUAGUGAUCAUGGAGCUAAGGGGAAGAAGGCGACACUAGUUGAAACUUUAUUGUCUCUGCAGGAAUUUGAACCUGAAUUCUACACGGACGAUCUCAUUAAAAGUCUUCUAAUGGUACGUACAUACGUUCCCUCAAACUAUUGCAUAAAGUUGGUACUAUUAGAUGUCCUUGAUUUGCUUCAUAACUUUUAAUAUAUAUAUAUAUAUAUUCCUGUAUGCAAUAUAUAUCCUUACAAAUUUUGCUGGCGUGUUUUUUUGAGUAUAAACGUGAAAAUAAUUGGCUCACUGUCGGCAUUAGUUUCUAAAGAUUAUAAAUAUGAGAAAUUACAUGAUUAGACACAUUCCAUUAUCAGAUAUACAGUAAUUAUCUAUAUUUUCAAAAUAUUACGUAUCUUACUACUUAAAUAAGUGUUUUCUAUCAUAUAUUGAGGGAGAUACACCUAGAUAUAUGUAUUUUUGGUAUCAAAUACACUAAAAUAGGGAGAGAUGCGAGCAAGAUGGGGAGGGAGGUGAGAGAGAUUUAUUACCAGAUACAUGCAAACCCACUCGUAUACAAUGUAUCUAGAAAAAUUACACCUAAUUUUGACCCCAUGUAUCUCGAGAUACAUGUAUCUGGACGUAUCUAGACACUCCAAAAUCUGAUAAGAUUCAUAAUAUUGCAAAUUAGAGUGUAUCUGAAUAAUUAACUCUUAAACUAGUGAAUUUAUAUAAGUUUCCAUUAUAAAUAUUAGAGUAAAUUACAACCCAAUACCUUUGGGUCAUCUAGUUUACAAAAUAAAUGUACAUAGACCAUAGUGUAUAGAUAAUGUAAAAUUUAUACUAAUAUCCAUAUUUUAUACAUACACAUAUGCAAUAUGUAUACACAACAUAUAUAAUAGAGUUUAUAUGCAAUGUAUAGUUUGGUCAUUUUUGAUAAAUAAGAUGAUCGAAUAGUAUUUAUAUAACUAUUUCUAUUGGUUAUUUAAGACCUAUUUUUAUCUUACAAAAAAGUGAACUGAAAAAUGUUGAAUUUGAGUGCACCAACUUGUGCGACAAAAAUAAGUCUCACAUAAUUAAUAUCAAUGUUAUAACAUCACAAAAGAAAGUUUUUCAAAGUUACUCAACUUUGCGCAAAGUAUCACAGGAAAAAAUAUUUACUACUUUGUUUUCUCGUAGUGACUUCAUGUGAUUGAUAUUUCUAUUACAAAGAAGAAUAGUGUAGUUACUUUUAUUUUACCUAGGUAGUCACUUUUUCAUUACAAAGUUGGUGUAAUAUUAAAAUGAAAGUUGAGUAACGAUCCAUGAAAUUACCAGACUGACAAUAUAUAAUUUGCUUUUACUAAUGUGUGUCUAUGGUGUUUUAGGUUUUGUUUGUUGCGGGAACAGAGACCACAUCAAUGACCAUUCAAUGGGCAAUGCGACUUCUUUUAGCUCACCCUAAAGCAUUUCAAAAAUUGAGAUCCGAAAUUGACAACAAUGUAGGGAACGAGCGCUUAUUAAACGAAUCCGAUUUAACUAAUCUUCCUUAUUUACAAUGUGUUAUAAACGAGACGUUGCGAUUAUACUCUCCAGUACCACUUCUAUUGCCUCACUACUCAUUAGAAGAUUGUACUGUUGGUGGCUACGAUGUACCAAAAAAUACAAUCCUAAUGGUUAACGCUUGGGCCAUUCAUAGGGACCCCGCGUUAUGGGACGAGCCUGAAAAGUUCAUGCCAGAGAGAUUUGAGGCUAUGGAAGGGGAAAAAGAAGGAUUUAGUUAUAAAUUUGUACCGUUUGGUAUGGGGAGAAGAGCAUGCCCUGGAGACAAUAUGGGUAUGCGUACUGUUUCAUUGGUAUUGGGUUCGUUGGUUCAAUGGUUUGAUUGGAAAAAUGUGGAAUUAGAUGAAAAUUAUAGUAAUAUGGAUGAAUACUAUAAUUCUAAAGUAAUUUCAAGUAAGGAUAAGCCUUUUGAGGCUAUUUGCAUUCCUCGUUAGAAUUAAUUUCGAGUAAGAAUUGUGUGUUGUGUAAUAAAUAAGUAUGCUAGAUGGAUCUUGGUGUGUGUUUAUGUGAUAUAUAAGGAUUUUAUCUUUGUGUUUUUAUGGAAUGUACUAUCCAAAUAAGAUCAAUAUUGUGGAAAUGGAUUAAGAGUGUGUUUGGAUUGAUUUAUACUUUCUCGUUUUUAUUUUAUAUGAGUUUAGUUUAAUUUCACAUGGAGUUUAAAAAAAGAAAGAAAAUGACUUUUAAAACUUGUGGUCUAAAAUAAGUGAUAGAUAUUUGUGUGACUAUAAAACAUUUCAUUAAUGGUAAAAUGAACAUUUUAAAGUUUAUGUUACUAUUUAAUAUAGAAAUGUGUCAUUUUUAGACUAUUAAAAAAAAGUAAGUCAUAUAAACUCACAGGGAGUAGUGUUUUUCAAGUUAAAAUAAUUUUUAAAGCGAUUUUGUAGUGUUUCAAUAAACUAAAAUAUUAUUUUUAAGCUAACACGACAAAAAUAAAUAAAAAAUAAGAAGUUAUAAUUCUUCAUUUAUGAUUGUUGAUUUAUAAGCCAGAAACUAUAAGCUCCUCCAAACAUGCUCAUUCUUUAGUAGAUUUCCCAAAAACAGUUAAUUCUCCUCUUGUAUUUCUCAUUAUACAUAACAGUAAAUUAUUCUUGUUAUGAUCUACACAAAACUUGUAUUUUAUUCUAAAAUAGAUUUUUAUUUUUACUUAUCGUUUUUGAUACAUCAAAAAAAGAUAAUUUCUUUUUCAUGUUUUACCCUUAAUAUUAAAUACUAAUUUCCAAGUCAUUCUCGGAGAUCUAAUACUAAACAUCAAUAUUUAAUAUGGAUAUCAUGAUAAAAUAACUAUGUCAAUAAUUAUUUUUUCAGUAAGUGUACCAAAUUUAACACUGACAAGUAAAAAUGAACAAAGACGAUAAGAGCCACAUACAUAUUAAUUUUUUUGCAUUAAAAAACAUACUUAGUACAUAUUAAACACCAAAUGUUUGUUACACUUCGCUUUCUCUCUCUCUAUCUUCUCCUUAUCUAUCUGCUUCGUCCAUUUUCGUAAAGUGAUAAUACUACAAUAUUUGCUAUCGAAUUUGUCAAUUACUUGAUCAAUUGCCCUUUGUGUGUUGAUAAUGUAAAGACUACUUUUUUGUAAUAGAUUUCAGUUUCCACCUGCUUUUUUAUCUUGAGAAAGUCACUCAACUUUAAACUUUUCUUUCAGAAAGUUCCAUAGUACGUGACUUUCUGAGAGAAAAGUCUCCAUAAUUGAGUGACUUUAUGAGAGAAGAGUUUAUAAUUGAGAUAAAAAUCAUAGUUGAGUGACUUUCUGAGUGAAGUUCACAGUUCAAUAACUUUUUGGUUAAAAAUCAAAGUUGAGUUUUGAGAGAAAAAUCAUUAGUUGAGUGAUUUUUCUUAUGACUUUCUAAGUGAAAAAUUCACAGUUCAAUAACUUUUUGGUUAAAAAUCAAAGUUGAGUUUUGAGAGAAAAAUCAUUAGUUGAGUGAUUUUUCUUAUACAAACCUCUUUCUUGUGGAAUUAGUUGACAGGAGUACUUGACAACCACGCAUGCAUGUUAGUUCCAGCGAGAGGUGGAGUCAUGUGUAUACAGGGUUAUGUGCACUCGUUAAUUUUAAAUUAUUUUUUUAAGGGAAAAAAGACAAACAUACCCCCGAACUAUUGUAAAUGGUAUGCAGAUAUCCUUCAUCAUACUUUUGGGACAUUGGUGCCCCUGCAGUCUAAAAACUAGAGCAUAUAUGCCCUUCACUCUAACGGAAGACUAAAUAGGGACACGUGGCGCAAUCUUAUCAGUCGAUAAAUAUCGGAUCGGUGGAUAAGAUUAUGACACGUGUAUGUCCAUUAGUAUAAAAGGGUAUAUAUGCUCUAGUUUUUUGGACGGCAGGGGGCACCAAUGUCUCAAAAAGUAUGACGGAGGGUAUUUGCAUACCAUUUACGAUAGUUCGGGGUAUAUUUAUCCUUUUUCCCUUUUUUUAAUAGUAUAUUUAUCCAGAAGCUAAUAUGUAUUUUGGAAAAAUUUCCCUCCCUAUAUAUAUACCUCAAUAUACUUGUAUAUUUUCCUUGCUCACGCGACUAGUGGAACUAUUCCUCGAUCGUCAUUGAAAAUUUCACUAUGUUAAAAUAAUAAUUUUGGUGCUGUCUUCAAAUCAUAGAGUUCCCCUUUUGAUCCGACUCGUGGUCCCAACACACCUUUCCCUUGGUUGUUUUCUUGUUUCUAACUAAGACGUAGAAAUUUGGUAUACUUGAAUCUGUCAAUUACUUAAAUGCGUCAUGUAUAUGAUCAUUGCUUACGAAAUUUUUAGCCUCCACACACUGGAACUGAUAUGUAUAUAUAAAACACAAAUCUGUUUACCAAAACUACACUGCCUUCACUUGUUAAGUUUACAAUUCUCUGUUUUGGGCCAUGGAGACUCUGAACUCUAAGUAGUACUACUACUUGUUGCUAUUUUUUGUUAUCUUUUUAUUAAAAUACUUUUUUCAUUCCAAAAAAACGUUUACCGCCUAGUCCUCUGUCUCUUCCAAUAAUUGGCCAUCUUUACCUUAUCAAAAAUUCUAUUCAUCAGUCAUUAACCUCAUUAUCAACUAAAUAUGGACCGGUUAUGUACCUCCGGUUCGGCUGUCGAAAUUUGCUUAUUGUGACUUCUCCAUCCGCUGUAGAAG
RNAcentral lists this long non-coding RNA (5406 nucleotides) under Solanum tuberosum (potato). RNAcentral's name for it is "long non-coding RNA (STUB_LNC005213)". The record is from RNAcentral. Lineage: Eukaryota; Viridiplantae; Streptophyta; Magnoliopsida; Solanales; Solanaceae.